This 463-nucleotide ribosomal RNA is filed under the name uncultured bacterium. RNAcentral describes it as "partial 16S ribosomal RNA". It matches the Rfam family "Bacterial small subunit ribosomal RNA", at positions 28 to 507 of the family's 1533-position model. The record is from RNAcentral.
GACGAACGCUGGCGGCGUGCUUAACACAUGCAAGUCGAACGGAAAGGCCUUUUCGGAGGUACUCGAGUGGCGAACGGGUGAGUAACACGUGGGUGAUCUGCCCUGCACUCUGGGAUAAGCCUGGGAAACUGGGUCUAAUACCGGAUAGGACCGCACUUUAGUGUGUGUGGUGGAAAGUUUUUUCGGUGUAGGAUGAGCCCGCGGCCUAUCAGCUUGUUGGUGGGGUAAUGGCCUACCAAGGCGGCGACGGGUAGCCGGACUGAGAGGUUGGUCGGCCACAUUGGGACUGGGAUACGGCCCAGACUCCUACGGGAGGCAGCAGUGGGGAAGAGUGCACAAUGGGCGCAAGCCUGAUGCAGCGACGCCGCGUGGGGGAUGACGGCCUUCGGGUUGUAAACGCCGUUCGCCAGGGACGAAGCGUUUUGUGACGGUACCUGGAGAAGAAGCACCGGCUAACUACGUG